GACGAACGCUGGCGGCGUGCUUAACACAUGCAAGUCGAACGGAAAGGCCCUGCUUUUGUGGGGUGCUCGAGUGGCGAACGGGUGAGUAACACGUGAGUAACCUGCCCUUGACUUUGGGAUAACUUCAGGAAACUGGGGCUAAUACCGGAUAGGAGCUCCUGCUGCAUGGUGGGGGUUGGAAAGUUUCGGCGGUUGGGGAUGGACUCGCGGCUUAUCAGCUUGUUGGUGGGGUAGUGGCUUACCAAGGCUUUGACGGGUAGCCGGCCUGAGAGGGUGACCGGCCACAUUGGGACUGAGAUACGGCCCAGACGCCUACGGGAGGCAGCAGUGGGGAAUAUAGCACAAUGGGCGGAAGCCUGAUGCAGCAACGCCGCGUGCGGGAUGACGGCCUUCGGGUUGUAAACCGCUUUCGCCUGUGACGAAGCGUGAGUGACGGUAAUGGGUAAAGAAGCACCGGCUAACUACGU
RNAcentral lists this ribosomal RNA (467 nucleotides) under uncultured bacterium. Its description in RNAcentral is "partial 16S ribosomal RNA". It matches the Rfam family "Bacterial small subunit ribosomal RNA", at positions 28 to 506 of the family's 1533-position model. The record is from RNAcentral.